RNAcentral lists this microRNA precursor (202 nucleotides) under Oryza glumipatula. Its description in RNAcentral is "MIR812 microRNA precursor family". It matches the Rfam family "MIR812 microRNA precursor family". Lineage: Eukaryota; Viridiplantae; Streptophyta; Magnoliopsida; Poales; Poaceae. The record is from Rfam by way of RNAcentral.
UUUAAGUGCAGCCAUGGUUUUCCGCGCUCAACUUUGAUCGUUCGUCUUAUUUAAAAAAAAUUAAAAAAAAUUAAAAACAUAAAUCACGAGUAAAGUACUAUUCAUGUUUUAUCAUCUUAUAACAACAAAAAUACUAAUUAUUAAAAAAAUAAAAAAGACGGACAAUUAAAGUUGGGCACGAAAACUCAUGGUUGCACUUAGA